This 400-nucleotide ribosomal RNA is filed under the name Babesia capreoli. Its description in RNAcentral is "SSU rRNA". It matches the Rfam family "Eukaryotic small subunit ribosomal RNA", at positions 469 to 923 of the family's 1831-position model. The record is from RNAcentral. Lineage: Eukaryota; Apicomplexa; Aconoidasida; Piroplasmida; Babesiidae.
GACAAGAAAUAACAAUACAGGGCAAUUGUCUUGUAAUUGGAAUGAUGGUGACCUAAACCCUCACCAGAGUAACAAUUGGAGGGCAAGUCUGGUGCCAGCAGCCGCGGUAAUUCCAGCUCCAAUAGCGUAUAUUAAACUUGAAGCAGUUAAAAAGCUCGUAGUUGAAUUUCUGCGUUAUCGAGUUAUUGACUCUUGUCUUUAAUCGAUUUCGCUUUUCCGAUUUAUCCCUUUUUACUUUGAGAAAAUUAGAGUGUUUCAAGCAGACUUUUGUCUUGAAUACUUCAGCAUGGAAUUGUAGAGUAGGACUUUGGUUCUAUUUUGUUGGUUUUUGAACCUUAGUAAUGGUUAAUAGGAACGGUUGGGGGCAUUCGUAUUUAACUGUCAGAGGUGAAAUUCUUAG